GCUUCUCAAGUAGUGAAACAAAGCGCUUCAGGUGUUUGUCUGUCCUUCAUUAUCUCCCCCACCCUUCUCAAUCCCUCUGUAUCCUAUAGAAAAGAAAGGAAAAAAAGGAAAAAGUUUACCAAGAGUGGUGGAUUUCUCUGCAGGCUCCAAGCCCCAGUAAUAACCCUGGUGCCAAUUAAAGGAGACAGACAGAGCAAGAGUGCACUUGUGGUGUCAAGGAUCCAACUCUGGACCUUGUGUUGAAAUGUCCAGUACUUUGUCCACUGCUCCACCUCCUGGGCCUCUGCUCUGUAGUUUGUGGUGCAGACAAGAGAGUUUCUGGGAUUUGCAGACCCAUGAAGUCUACUCAUAACACUCAUUUGUAGACAGGUUCUUUAAUGUAGAUUAUUACAUUCACACACACAUACACACACACACACACACACACACACUCUUAUAAUUCAAGAUCAUGCAUACUAACACUGACUAUGUUUAAGUGGUUUAUUAGAUUGUACAAUCACUUAUUACAAAAAGGGUUUUUGAAAAAGUACAUUAAAAAAAUAGAAAAUAAAGUUUUGGGGAAUUCCAUGAUCAAAACACAGUUAUUGGGCCCAAUUUCUUCUAUCACACAUUUUCCCUAAGCCUUUGCUGAUGGUAUCACACCUUAGCAGCAUCCUCCUGUCCUACCUGAGUUUCCAUGGCACUGUUUGAGUACUGAUCACACAUGAUUAUAUUGCCAUUUACGGGGAGUUAUGUCUGGGACAGAAUCCAGUGUUCAGAGGUGAAUACUGUGAAAGAGCAUGUAUUUAGAAAUCUCAACCCAUAGGUUAUCAUCUAGCCCAUUUGAUCAUCAGUUUCCUUAUUCUUGUUUCUUUUUUUAUAGAUUUUCAUUGGUGAUUUAUUAUUAAUUUACAAAAUUACAAGAUGCCAGAGUACAACUCCACACUGUUCCCACCACCAGAAUUCUGGAUCCCCAGUCUCACCAUUGUAAGCUACAGCAGUUCUCCAAAGUUGCAGAUAUGGGUCAUCCUGGGGCGCCCCGCCUCCCUGGCCACUGGAAGCAGAGACUGGGAUGGCUCCUAGGGGUCCUAUGGGGGCCCUGGCAAUGAAGACUCCAAGUUGCAGAUGCUACAAUUACGCCAACCUGGCUUCCCUGGGCAGACAACCUCACCAAUGUGUCCUGGAACCCCGCCUCUCCAGAAACCUGCCCCACUGAGAAGUAAUAGAGACAGGCUGGGAGUAUGGAUCAACCUGCAAAUAACCAUGUUCAGUGGAGAAACAAUUGCUGAAGCCAGACCUUCCACCUUCUGUACCCCAUAAUGAUCCUGGGUCCAUGCUCCCACGGCAAUAAAGUAUAGAAAAAUUUCCAGUGGAGGAGACAGGAUGUGGAACUCUGGUGGUGGGAAAUGUGUGUAAUUG
This is a long non-coding RNA of Erinaceus europaeus (western European hedgehog), 1398 nucleotides long. RefSeq lists it as uncharacterized. Lineage: Eukaryota; Metazoa; Chordata; Mammalia; Eulipotyphla; Erinaceidae. The record is from RefSeq and is a predicted model, not a curated record. The transcript is spliced from 3 exons.